Pelobates cultripes (western spadefoot toad) is the source of this 234-nucleotide non-coding RNA. NCBI's taxonomy places the organism in Eukaryota, Metazoa, Chordata, Amphibia, Anura, Pelobatidae. The record is from the annotation of a GenBank genome assembly.
CUCAUCUUUGAUGAUACCAGCCCAAACCAGUACUCCACCUCCACCUUGCUGGCAUCUGAGUCGGACUGGAGCUCUCUGCCCUUUACCAAUCCAGCCACGGGCCCAUCCAUCUGGCCCAUCAGACUCACUCUCAUUUCAUCAGUCCAUAAAACCUUAGAAAAAUCAGUCUUGAGAUAUUUCUUGGCCCAGUCUUGACGUUUCAGCUUGUGUGUCUUGUUUAGUGGUGGUCGUCUU